This 241-nucleotide long non-coding RNA is filed under the name Elaeis guineensis (African oil palm). RNAcentral describes it as "long non-coding RNA (EGUI_LNC009256)". Lineage: Eukaryota; Viridiplantae; Streptophyta; Magnoliopsida; Arecales; Arecaceae. The record is from RNAcentral.
CUCGACAUCACCCUUGACAGGUCGAGUCCUGGGAAUGCCAUCUUGAUCCAAUUUUGGUAUGUCCAAAAUCUAUCCGUGUAGCCCACAUCAAACAUAUAUAGGACCAUAUCAUCAGAAGACACGGGAUCAGCCAAUCCUUGCUCGACUAGGCCUCGAGAUCUCAUGACUGUUUGCCGACUUUUCCUCAGUCUAUAUUCAGCGACCACAUUGUUCGAGCAUUCAAGUUUAGAAAUCCUCUCUU